GUUGGCUUGGAAGCAGCCAUUCCUUUAAAGAGUGCGUAACAGCUCACUGGUCAGCGACCGGGCAUCGAUAAUACGCGGGCAUCAAGCUAGGCACCGAAGCGCGGGAUUUACACUUUGUGUAAGUGGUAGGGGAGCAUUCUGGUUGCGGAGAAGCCGUGCUGUCAGGCAUGGUGGAGCGUCCAGAAAAGCACAUGUAGGCAUGAGUAACGAUAAAAUGGGUGCGAAACCCAUUCGCCGAA
RNAcentral lists this ribosomal RNA (239 nucleotides) under Chaetoceros affinis. Its description in RNAcentral is "partial Bacterial large subunit ribosomal RNA". It matches the Rfam family "Bacterial large subunit ribosomal RNA", at positions 1100 to 1341 of the family's 2925-position model. Lineage: Eukaryota; Bacillariophyta; Thalassiosirophyceae; Chaetocerotales; Chaetocerotaceae. The record is from RNAcentral.